AACUGUUGAAUAUGGUCUCUGGUUUGGGAAUUUUAUGAAAAUAAAAGUUCCAAAGCUACGCCGUCUGAGAUAAUGGCUGAAGGCCUCUUAAGCCAGAAACUCAUCUAAAAAUAGAUGCUUUAAACUAUUUAAAAGAAUUAAAUUUAAAAUAUUUUUUUUAAAGGUUCUUGUUUAUAUAGGAAAACCCACUGAACUGAAGCAUCUCAAUAAGUGGAGGAAAAUAAACUAACUAGGAUACUCUUAGUAAGUGCGACCGAAGAGAGUAAAGCUCAAUAAUCUAAACUUUAAAUUUUUAAUUUAAAGUCAUGUGAUUUUCUAAACUCAUUGAAAUUUUUAUAAAUUAUGAUUGAAUUCAUAACUAUAAAGAGUUAUAGUCUCGUUAUUUAAAAUUUCAAGCAUGGGAAUUAGAAUUAAAGAGUCGGGUAGCUUGAGAAUGCUGCCUUAAUAUAGGUGGUACACCCCAUCUAAAGCUAAAUAUUGUAAAGAGACCGAUAGCAUACAAGUAGUGUGAACGAAAGAUGAAAAGAACUCCUAAACGGAGAAUUAAAAGCGCCUGAACUUGUCUAGGUUUUCGCAUUUCUUUAAUGCGCCCGUCUUGAAACACGGAUUAGGGAGUUUUACUUAAAUACGAGUCUUUAACUUUUAAAGUAAUUUUUUUAAAAAAGGCGAAAAGAAAUUAACUGGUUUUUUAACAUGGCUAUAGAGUAUUUAAGUCAAAACCCGAAUGGAGGUGAACUAUUCCUGCAAAGAUUGAAGUCAGGGGAAACUCUGAUGGAAGAUCGUUGGCGUUAUUGAUGUGCAAAUCAUUUGCUUUAUGUAGGUAUAGGUGCGAAAGACUCAUCGAACCUCCUAAUAGCUGGUUUCCUCCGAAGUUUCCCUCAGGAUAGCUGUAACAUUUUUAAAUAGUUAAGGAUAGUAGAGAAAUGGGUAGAGGUGUAGUGGAACUACGGUUCUGCAACUUAUUUCCAAACUUCGAACGUUCUUGAUAUAAAAAAUUACCUAACAGGAAUUUUUUAUUUAAAUAUAUGUUAUAAGUGGGCUCUGACCGGUAAGCGGUCAUGGCGAAAAGGGAUGAACCUAACGUAUAAAUAAGGUGCCUAAAUUUACUAACAAUGAAACCAUUAAAAGAGUCCAUGUAUUUAGACAGCGGGUCGGUGCCCCUAAAAGCAGGUAUCCGUUAAUGAGUGUGUUAAAACUCCCCCGCCGAAUACUCUGGCCUUGAAAAUGAAUGGCGCAUAUAGUAAUACCGAUAUUAUACAUUAAAAUUAUUUCAAAAUUUUAAAAGUAGGGGGAUGUGGAUAUCUUAGAGAAUUUUUAAUUGUAAAAUUGAAUUGAAAGAUAUCUAUUACAGAUCCUAAUUGAAGUAGCGAUUAUCCAGGUUAAUUUCCUGGGGGCUGAUGAGGAGUAGGGUUUCUGGGCAACUUAAACGGACCCAGAGUUAGUCGAUCCUAAUCAAAUUAAAUUUAGAGAAAGGGAAUAUGAAUGAUAUUUCAUAACUAAAAUUAAUUUUUAAAUGGUGACAUUUUUUUAAACUUAUUUCCAUCAAUUAAAUACUGUUUAAUAGGGAUUUCUUUCCUAUAUAACUUUUUAAUUAAAACUUAAGAAACAGGUUAACUGGAGAAUAAAGUUUUAAUUUAGUAAAAUUAUAAUUUCGAUUAUAAUAACGGCUAUUUAAAUGAUCCAUGAAACGAUAAGUUUAUUUUUUCAAAAAUUAAUUUAAUCGUACCGAUAACCGCAUCAGGUCU
Molecule: ribosomal RNA, 1745 nt
Filed under: human gut metagenome
Description: eukaryotic LSU rRNA
Rfam family: Eukaryotic large subunit ribosomal RNA
Source: RNAcentral